RNAcentral lists this ribosomal RNA (215 nucleotides) under uncultured bacterium. RNAcentral's name for it is "partial 16S ribosomal RNA". It matches the Rfam family "Bacterial small subunit ribosomal RNA", at positions 117 to 331 of the family's 1533-position model. The record is from RNAcentral.
GUAAGCAACGUGCCCUGAAACUCGGGGUAUACCGGGGAAACCCGGAGCAAUACCGGAUGUGGUCUGGACCCGGCAUCGGGAUCAGAUUAAACGGUUUUUCGCUUCAGGAGCGGCCUACGGCCUAUCAGCUAGUUGGCGGGGUAACGGCCCACCAAGGCUUCGACGGGUAACUGGUCUGAGAGGACGACCAGUCCGAGUGGGACUGAGACACGGCC